RNAcentral lists this ribosomal RNA (420 nucleotides) under uncultured bacterium. Its description in RNAcentral is "bacterial SSU rRNA". It matches the Rfam family "Bacterial small subunit ribosomal RNA", at positions 355 to 774 of the family's 1533-position model. The record is from RNAcentral.
UAAGGAAUAUUGCUCAAUGGGAGAAAUCCUGAAGCAGCAACGCCGCGUGGAGGAUGAAGGGUCUAUGACUUGUAAACUCCUGUAAAGAAGGAAAAAAUUCCCAUUAGAUGGGAGAUGAUGGUACUUCUGGAGCAAGCCCCGGCUAACUACGUGCCAGCAGCCGCGGUAAUACGUAGGGGGCAAGCGUUGUCCGGAUUUACUGGGUGUAAAGGGUGCUCAGGCGGAUUUGUAAGUCAGAGGUGAAAUCUUACAGCUUAACUGUGAAACUGCCUUUGAUACUGCAAGCCUAGAGUAUGGAAGAGAGUGAUGGAAUAUCUGGUGUAGCAGUGAAAUGCGUAGAUAUCAGAUAGAACACCAAUGGCGAAGGCAGUCACUUGGUCCAUUACUGACGCUAAAGCACGAAAGCGUGGGUAGCAAACA